GGAAAAAGAAAAAGGUUCUUUAUCUUCUUCUCUAAGAUAACCCUCUGCUGUCGCCGCCUCAGUUGAAGUUAAGAUUGGUCUCUUUGGAAGCUUGAGGAUUUAAAGUGAUGAAUUUUUCAUCAAGGAUAAGAGGAUUUUCCAACCUCCAUCUGAGUAACCUUGGAUCAAGUUAAUUGGAGAAUUUUACUGUCAACUAGGGAGUACCUUGUUUGGCUAAAAUCUCCAGGCGAAGGUAAAGGUAGAGGAAAGCUGGCGAGCGACAGAGAAGGAUCCGUGACAUGCCAUAUGGGGACUCAGUUUUGCUUCCGCGUUUAUGUUUCAGUGUUUUAAUAUUCCGUUUUUAAUGAAAAUUUAUUCUUCCCUCGUUUCAAAAAAG
Cucumis melo (muskmelon) is the source of this 376-nucleotide long non-coding RNA. RefSeq lists it as uncharacterized. Lineage: Eukaryota; Viridiplantae; Streptophyta; Magnoliopsida; Cucurbitales; Cucurbitaceae. The record is from RefSeq and is a predicted model, not a curated record. The transcript has 3 exons.